AAAAAUGAUUUGAAAUAAAAAAAAUCUGGAUUUUAUGUGUAGCCAGACAUAAUAUUAGCCAGUUGAUGAAGUAAAUAAGUUACAAGGUUUGUUUAAAUUAUA
This is a long non-coding RNA of Aricia agestis (brown argus), 102 nucleotides long. RefSeq lists it as uncharacterized. Lineage: Eukaryota; Metazoa; Arthropoda; Insecta; Lepidoptera; Lycaenidae. The record is from RefSeq and is a predicted model, not a curated record. The transcript is spliced from 3 exons.